Molecule: ribosomal RNA, 499 nt
Filed under: uncultured Actinomycetes bacterium
Lineage: Bacteria; Bacillati; Actinomycetota; Actinomycetes
Description: bacterial SSU rRNA
Rfam family: Bacterial small subunit ribosomal RNA
Source: RNAcentral
UGGGGAAUCUUGCGCAAUGGGCGAAAGCCUGACGCAGCAACGCCGCGUGCGGGAUGAAGGCCCUCGGGUUGUAAACCGCUUUCAGUGGGGACGAACCAAGACGGUACCCACAGAAGAAGGUCCGGCCAACUACGUGCCAGCAGCCGCGGUAACACGUAGGGACCAAGCGUUGUCCGGAUUCAUUGGGCGUAAAGAGCUCGUAGGCGGCUCAGUAAGUCGGGUGUGAAACCUCCAGGCUCAACCUGGAGACGCCACCCGAUACUGCUGUGGCUAGAGUCCAGUAGGGGAGCGUGGAAUUCCUGGUGUAGCGGUGAAAUGCGCAGAUAUCAGGAGGAACACCAGCGGCGAAAGGCGGCGCUCUGGGCUGGAACUGACGCUGAGGAGCGAAAGCGUGGGGAGCGAACAGGAUUAGAUACCCUGGUAGUCCACGCCGUAAACGUUGGGUACUAGGUGUGGGGUCUUAUCAACGGAUUCCGUGCCGAAGCUAACGCAUUAAGUA